RNAcentral lists this ribosomal RNA (253 nucleotides) under uncultured bacterium. RNAcentral describes it as "partial 16S ribosomal RNA". It matches the Rfam family "Bacterial small subunit ribosomal RNA", at positions 524 to 776 of the family's 1533-position model. The record is from RNAcentral.
UACGUAGGGUCCGAGCGUUGUCCGGAAUUACUGGGCGUAAAGAGCUCGUAGGUGGUUUGUCGCGUUGUUCGUGAAAACUCACAGCUCAACUGUGGGCGUGCGGGCGAUACGGGCAGACUUGAGUUCGGCAGGGGAGACUGGAAUUCCUGGUGUAGCGGUGAAAUGCGCAGAUAUCAGGAGGAACACCGGUGGCGAAGGCGGGUCUCUGGGCCGACACUGACGCUGAGGAGCGAAAGCGUGGGGAGCGAACAGG